AAGUCGUAACAAGGUUUCCGUAGGUGAACCUGCGGAAGGAUCAUUAACACGUAUCCAAACGUUAAAACAACCCUGUGAACCUUCAGCGUGUUCUUGCAGGACAUCAAAACAGCAAUCCCGAGUAAAUCAGGCGCUAAAGAAUUACAGAUUUUGAUUUUGGGAAGUUCUGUGUGUACGUGGACGCUGCAAUUGAGCGCUAGAUAAAGCACCCUGGUACCCUAGAGCACUCCCCUGUCUGAAAGCGGCAGGGAUCAAUGUUCAGGUGUCAACGAUCGCUGUAGGUCCACACGGCCGGCGACCGGGACUUGCCGAAAGCUGACUCCGUCAUAAAUCGAACAACUGUUAACAAUGGAUAUCUUGGUUCUC
RNAcentral lists this unclassified non-coding RNA (366 nucleotides) under fungal sp. Its description in RNAcentral is "partial internal transcribed spacer region". The stretch from base 1 to 46 matches the Rfam family "Eukaryotic small subunit ribosomal RNA", at positions 1786 to 1831 of the family's 1831-position model. Lineage: Eukaryota; Fungi. The record is from RNAcentral.